AGUGAACGCUGGCGGUAGGCCUAACACAUGCAAGUCGAACGGCAGCACAGUAAGAGCUUGCUCUUACGGGUGGCGAGUGGCGGACGGGUGAGGAAUACAUCGGAAUCUACAUUUUCGUGGGGGAUAACGUAGGGAAACUUACGCUAAUACCGCAUACGACCUACGGGUGAAAGCAGGGGAUCUUCGGACCUUGCGCGAUUGAAUGAGCCGAUGUCGGAUUAGCUAGUUGGCGGGGUAAAGGCCCACCAAGGCGACGAUCCGUAGCUGGUCUGAGAGGAUGAUCAGCCACACUGGAACUGAGACACGGUCCAGACUCCUACGGGAGGCAGCAGUGGGGAAUAUUGGACAAUGGGCGCAAGCCUGAUCCAGCCAUACCGCGUGGGUGAAGAAGGCCUUCGGGUUGUAAAGCCCUUUUGUUGGGAAAGAAAAGCAGCAGGUUAAUACCCCGCUGUUCUGACGGUACCCAAAGAAUAAGCACCGGCUAACUUCGU
This 491-nucleotide ribosomal RNA is filed under the name uncultured bacterium. Its description in RNAcentral is "partial 16S ribosomal RNA". It matches the Rfam family "Bacterial small subunit ribosomal RNA", at positions 29 to 506 of the family's 1533-position model. The record is from RNAcentral.